RNAcentral lists this ribosomal RNA (450 nucleotides) under uncultured bacterium. Its description in RNAcentral is "partial 16S ribosomal RNA". It matches the Rfam family "Bacterial small subunit ribosomal RNA", at positions 354 to 796 of the family's 1533-position model. The record is from RNAcentral.
GUGGGGAAUAUUGGACAAUGGGCGAAAGCCUGAUCCAGCCAUGCCGCGUGUGUGAAGAAGGUCUUCGGAUUGUAAAGCACUUUAAGUUGGGAGGAAGGGCAGUAAGUUAAUACCUUGCUGUUUUGACGUUACCGACAGAAUAAGCACCGGCUAACUUCGUGCCAGCAGCCGCGGUAAUACGAAGGGUGCAAGCGUUAAUCGGAAUUACUGGGAGUAAAGCGCGCGUAGGUGGUUUUGUAAGUUGGAGGUGAAAUCCCCGGGCUCAACCUGGGAACUGCCUCCAAAACUGCAUGACUAGAGUACGGUAGAGGGUAGUGGAAUUUCCUGUGUAGCGGUGAAAUGCGUAGAUAUAGGAAGGAACACCAGUGGCGAAGGCGACUACCUGGACUGAUACUGACACUGAGGUGCGAAAGCGUGGGGAGCAAACAGGAUUAGAAACCCCAGUAGUCC